Molecule: long non-coding RNA, 545 nt
Filed under: Sander lucioperca (pikeperch)
Lineage: Eukaryota; Metazoa; Chordata; Actinopteri; Perciformes; Percidae
Description: lncRNA (ENSSLUG00000011472.1)
Source: RNAcentral
GCGUUUGUAGUUCACAAGUAGGUAUAUGUGGUCUUCUUGCGCGGCUUUCUGUGACGUUAACGUUACAUUUGACUGUUUGAAAUGAACAAUGUCAUAAAUAAAAAUAGAUUCAGAGCUGUGCAACGGAGAUUUUACGAUGGUAAAACAGCCACAAUCCAGUAAGAAACAUUGCUGGAGGAAGAGUAUUUUUCACAAUGAGGACAUUUUUUGCGACGUGGAGGAGUGGGGCGCCAUUGAAGGAUUGGAGCAGCACUGAACACAUAUCAUAAUCAAGAAGACCCAGCCAGCCACCUCUUCACCUGAGGGAGAAACUGCCCAGCCCUGUCUUCCCCCAGUCAAAUAACCAUUCCAUGUGGCAGCAGCAUGUGGGUGGACAAGUUCCAGGUGCCAUGGGAAAGAAGAGCCAUUGAUGCUGGAUGUUGGAGACAUACCAGAAAGGUGCAGUGGUCAAUGAGGAGCAAGUGCCUGCAGAAAUCACCUUUUUCAAACUCAUCACAUGUCAAUCAUACUCAACCAUCAGGUUUUAAUGUGUCACAGACCUUUGG